GUGAGGAAUAUUGGACAAUGGGCGCAAGCCUGAUCCAGCCAUGCCGCGUGCAGGAAGACGCAUCUAUGGUGUGUAAACUGCUUUUGUACGGGAAGAAACACUCCCUCGUGAGGGAGCUUGACGGUACCGUAAGAAUAAGGAUCGGCUAACUCCGUGCCAGCAGCCGCGGUAAUACGGAGGAUCCAAGCGUUAUCCGGAAUCAUUGGGUUUAAAGGGUCCGUAGGCGGUUUAAUAAGUCAGUGGUGAAAGCCCAUCGCUCAACGAUGGAACGGCCAUUGAUACUGUUAGACUUGAAUUACAAGGAAGUAACUAGAAUAUGUAGUGUAGCGGUGAAAUGCUUAGAUAUUACAUGGAAUACCAAUUGCGAAGGCAGGUUACUACUUGUGGAUUGACGCUGAUGGGCGAAAGCGUGGGGAGCGAACAGGAUUAGAUACCCGUGUAGUCC
Molecule: ribosomal RNA, 445 nt
Filed under: uncultured bacterium
Lineage: Bacteria
Description: partial 16S ribosomal RNA
Rfam family: Bacterial small subunit ribosomal RNA
Source: RNAcentral